GUAGUAGUAAUCUGCCCGCCGCGCUCUCCGCUCGCAUUCUGUGUCACGGUGCCACCGGGAGAGGGGCGACAGACUGCUGCGCGUCAGGGGAUACCAGUCACCAUCCGCACGGUUCAAGCGACAUCCCGCCGCGGGCAAUGACAUUUGCAGACUGAAGUGGGAAUACACGAGAAAACGCAAAAAUGACGGUGGACUUUGAAGAAUGUAUAAAAGACUCACCCCGAUUCAGGGCUGGCAUUGAUGAUGUGGAGACAGACGUGGUGGAGAUAGAGGCCAAGCUCGACAAGCUGGUGAAAUUGUGCAGUGGGAUGAUCGAGGCUGGCAGGGCCUAUGUCAGCGCCAACAAGCUCUUCGUCAACGGCAUCAAGGACCUGUCCCAGCAGUGCAAGAAAGAGGAGAUGAUAUCGGAAUGCCUUGAAAAGUGCGGAGAAAGCCUCCAGGAGAUCGUCAACUACCACAUGAUUUUAUUUGACCAGGCUCAGAGGUCGAUCAAGCAGCAGCUUCACACUUUCAUAAAAGAGGAUGUGCGCAAGUUUAAGGACACCAAGAAGCAGUUUGACAGGGUGCGCGAGGACAUGGAGCUGGCCCAGGUGAAGAAUGCACAGGCCCCCAGGAACAAGGUGCAUGAGGCCGAAGAGGCCACCCAGGCACUCGUCCUCAGCCGCAAAGCCUUCAGGCACCUGGCCCUUGACUAUGUACUUCAGAUUAAUGUGCUUCAGGCUAAGAAGAAGUUUGAAAUCCUGGAUGCAAUGCUGUCCUUCAUGCGUGCCCAGUACACUCUGUUCCAACAAGGCUUCAACAUCCUGGACGAGAUUGAUCCCUAUAUGAAAAAACUGGCUGCACAGCUGGAUCAGCUGGUCAUCGACUCUGCCAUGGAGAAGAGGGAGCUGGAGCACAAACACGCCCUCAUCCAGCAAAGAACUCUGAUGCAGGACUUUUCUUACGAUGACCCCAAGUUGGAAUUCAAUGUGGAUGCACCCAAUGGUGUGGUCAUGGAGGGCUACCUCUUCAAGAGAGCCAGCAAUGCUUUCAAGACCUGGAACAGGCGGUGGUUUUCUAUACAAAACAGCCAACUGGUCUACCAAAAGAAACUCAAGGACUCUUUGACGGUGGUGGUGGAGGAUCUGAGGCUGUGCUCAGUCAAACCAUGUGAAGAUAAUGAGAGAAGGUUCUGCUUUGAGGUGGUUUCACCCACUAAGAGCUGUAUGCUGCAGGCUGAGUCUGAGAAGCUGCGGCAGGCUUGGAUCCAGGCAGUCCAGGCAAGCAUUGCCUCUGCUUACAAAGACAUCGCUGACAAUUACUACAUUGAGCGUUUGGAUCGGACAGCCUCGCCUUCCACCAGCAGCAUCGACUCUGCCAGCGAGCCCAGAGAGAGGGGUGAGAGGGCUGAUAGGGGGGUUCGGGGAGGUGGGGAAAGCCUCCUCCAGAGGGUGCAGAGCCUGCCAGGGAACGAGCUGUGCUGUGACUGCGGCCAAACAGCGCCCUGCUGGGCAUCCAUCAACCUGGGAGUGCUGCUCUGCAUCGAGUGCUCAGGGAUCCACAGGAGUUUAGGCGUCCAUUGCUCUAAAGUGCGUUCGCUGACAUUAGACUCGUGGGAGCCAGAAUUACUCAAGCUGAUGUGUGAACUGGGGAACACUGUGAUCAACCAAAUUUAUGAGGGAUCCUGCAAGGAGCUGGGAGCGAAAAAACCUGGACCGUCUAGUUCAAGACAGGAGAAAGAGGCCUGGAUCAAGUCUAAAUACGUGGAGAAACGCUUCCUGAAGAAGAUGAGUGGAAGCGAGGCACUGGUGGAGGGUGAAAGGAAGUCCCGGCCCUGGACAGUGAAGAAGUGCCAUCGACACAACGGCUCUGUUCGGGCCCCCAACAAGGCUCGCAGGAAAUACCAUCGCUACGAGCCGGGCAACGCUUCACCUGCAAACCUCUCAGCGGCAGCUGCAGCAAAGUUUCGCCGGGACUCCCUGUUCUGUCCAGAUGAGCUGGAUUCGCUAUUUUCCUACUUUGACACUGGCUCUGGUCCUCGCAGUCUUAGCAGCGACAGCGGCCUGGGAGGAAGUACUGACGGCAGCACAGACAUCCUGGUUUUUGGCUCAGUGGUGGACAGUGUCACAGAAGAAGAGGAGGAGUCAGAGGAGUCCUCCAGUGGUGAGGUAGAGAUCGAACAGGAAGUGUCUUCGGACCCUGAAGACCCGAGGGAGCUGCACCCCGGGGCACUCCUCCACCGAUCCUCCCGUCUACACAACCUGCCUCUCAUGGCGGAGGCAUUGGCGCAUGGGGCUGACGUACACACUGCAAGUGAGGAGGAGGAGGGGAAAACGCCACUCAUUCAGGCCGUGAUCGGGGGUUCUCUGAUAGCUUGUGAGUUCCUGCUACAGAACGGAGCCGAUGUGAACCAGAGGGACAUGAGAGGCAGAGGCCCACUGCACCACGCCACCUACCUGGGACACACAGGUCAGGUGUGUCUGUUCCUGAAGAGAGGAGCAUCACAGACGGAGGUGGAUGAGCAGGGUCAUGACCCACUAAGUAUCGCUGUCCAGGCUGCCAAUGCAGACAUUGUCACCCUGUUGCGUCUAGCGCGGAUGAACGAGGAAAUGCGAGAAGCGGAGGCUCCCUUGGGUCAACCAGGUCAAUACCACAGCAGCAGCCCCACUGAGCAGCAGUAUAGGAAGUGCAUCCAGGAAUUCAUCUGCCUCACAAUAGAGGAAUGCUAGGGGUCAAUUCUGUGUCCAGGAGCAUAGCUGGCGCUCUCUCCCUCUCUCCAUACAUAUAUAUAUACAUACAUAUAUUCCUCCUAAUGUAAACAAAGUUGCCCCUAGACACUGAUCUCAAGUCUGUUACUUACGUAGAUCUAGGCUUACGGGCAACUUCUUGGGGUUGUCUGAGGGGAGAAGAGCGUACCACUUACUCAUUAUGAGGGGCGUUGUCUGGGGAGACCCCUGAUGGACCUUUUUAACUAUACUGACACUACACUCCAUUUUUCUGCAUCACCACUAUGUUUCUGCUUGCCAUUACUCGGCACCACCCAUGCUAUGCUAGCUACAUGACACACACACACAGUAAAAUGACAUCUGCUUUUUGGUGUUUUGCUAACGGGGUUAUCCUCUAACUUAUCAUAACAUGGUGUAACCUCUUGUGUAAGGGUGCGGGUUUACUGUUGACUAGCAGCUCUUACCUCUGAAGAAUCUCGCUGCAUUAACCCCCUACACUUUAUAUAUAUCCAGACCAUCUGUGUGACAUCCAACUUACCCAUCUCUUCUUAAUCGGAAAUGUAAAUAUGCAUAUUUAGAAGUUAUAUGGGUAAUCUUUAAACUAUGUGCUGUGGCAUGAGGUGAAAAAAAAUGGUAUUUGUUCCAUUGCUAAAAGAAAAAGAGUAACUGACAAGCUAGAGUAGAGGUGGGCAGUGUUGUUUACUGUGUAUAAAGAGGGGUCAGGAAGGGAAAUUUAAUGUAAAACUGUGACAAAAAUACUGAAGGGCUUGUGGAGAAGAGACCCUUGCCUGCUUUGUAAGAUACUUUGUGAUGUGAGUGAAUGAGUGAGCGAGUGAGUGAGUGAGUGAGAGUGGACAGGAGAGUAAAUGAGGGCAUGUGUCAAAGAAUACUGAGAGACAGAGUUAAAUCGUAUUAUAUUAUGAUACAUUAUGUAAAGGAAAAAAAAGAAACUGCACUUUUCCCAUCUACAGUAUUAUAAUUUUGUUUUAUUUUCAUUCAGUUAGUUUUUACAUUGUUCUUGUCUAGUCAAGUUAUUGUCUACCUAUUGUCUUAUUUAUGUUUAUCUCCCCAGAGGACCAGUGCAAUUCAUUCUUUGAUGCAGUCUACUUCUGCAUUCCUGUUAACGAUUGUCAUUUUGAUCUGAAAGCAUUACAUGGAAUUUAUGACAGUAUUUAGAUGACGCCAUGUAAUAGCACUCAUGAAAGACUUGUUUCAUUUUCACUUUGGAGUGGCCUUACAUUGCUACGAGUAUGACUAUUGGCAUUUCAACACACCUCUGAAAGAGAUUCUCUGGUAACGGACUCUAGUUACAAUGUACUGUUUUAUUUAUCCAUACAUCCGUUGUCUAACUAGUGAGGACUAAGCAGCAAGUCUUGCAGUGUAGGGAGGGAAUGUAUAAAACUGGAAUCAUAUCUCUCCCUUAAACAGUUCUACUGUUCACUAUACAAAGUGAUUCACGACACCUCCAUUUUGUUGUAAAUACUCAUCCAUGUUACAAUAUCUUGUGGUGAGAUAAAGGAGCACAUGUCUUUAGAACAGUUUACACACUUGUGGGGUCAAAGGACUUCUAUAUCUGGCUUCCCUCACUGGUCAAUGCUUACAGUAUUCUCUGCAUGCUUUGCCAGAAUUGUUUUUGGGAGGUUCAACAUCGUUUGCAUUCUGAGCAUGAUAAAAUAUCUUUCUAUGGUUUGUUCACAUCGUGCAGUGCAGUCCUGUGGAAUAAGCAUGUACCACCAUGACCCCUCUGGUGUUUCUUACUUUUUACACCUCUGUGCCAUUCUCCCAUCCACAGACCAAAUCUGUGGUGACUUCCUCAUUCUUGUCUUUUUUUUGUUUCCACAAAAGCUUGCAACCAUUAAUUUUUAAUGUUGUGGUUUAUUUUCCUCUGCCAAAGACUUUUUAAAGGGAAAGUGUCUGACAUUGUUGUAUAAUAUCACCAUUUUUUUUGUUUGUUUUUUAAAAAACUGAAACUGUUAAGAGUAGAUACAACAUAGUCUUACCAUGCUUUGUGAAGUGACAGAGUGGUAGAAACACUGUUGGUGUACUCAUGUGUUCAAAAGAGGUUACAGAAAUGUGACAGACCUGAGAGAUUUUGAUAUGGCAGGUGAUAAUCUGCAAUAGUUCAAUGUACUGCAAGUAGAACCAGUCUAGGGGGUGAUGUGAUGCUACUGUGACCAAACUGUUAGGGCCCUCGCCCUAGCGGACGUAUUAAAUGUUGUGUCCAUUGUGUGUAUUGACAUAGGAGUGGUUAAAGGUGCUGUUCAAAGCAAACAUGCUGUAAAUAGUACACUUGUGUAUUUUAACUCAACGCCAACUGUCUGCCUCUCAGCAUUCAAUCACAGAUCCUGACUGUCUGAUCUGUUUUAUGUUUGUCUUUUUAUUCUCUUCCAAAAAGUAAAAAACAACAACCUGUCAGUCAGAACUGUAACACAGCUCUGCACUACUUGGAGGCGUUCUUCUGUUCACUGACAUUUGGAUAUCUUUGGAAUACUUUCUUCCUUGUCUUUAGAAGCACUGAGGGGAAAAAAAAGAAAACAAACUGCAUACAAUAAAACUGAUAAACUCUUGAUGAACUAACCCUGCUUCCUGCUUGUUGCUCUGAUUUCUGUUUCCUGUCUCAUCUCUUAUGCAUAACAUUCUCUCAACAUUGCAGCAAUUUGUUUGAAAAUAUAUCGAAAAUAGUUGCUCUAAAUGAUCAAUGGAUAAAUACUAUACAUAUAUAUGUAUAAACAUUGUCAGAUGUUGGGAGAAUGCUAUUUUAUUACAAUCUGAUCUGGUGUCUUUUGGUCUAUAACAAACUUUUGGGUAGCACUUGGCUUAUUCAAAGCAAUACAAUUGUUUCCUUCAUGAUAAACAUAAAGGAGGUGUACACUCAGACAUCUCCAGACUAGGGUGACCAGAUUCCAACAAACUUAAUGUUGGACAAAGAGUAUGUUGUGGGACAAUGUGGGACAUGUUACCAGUGCUGAGAGGUAUUCUGCCCUUUAGUUCAUAAAAUCUCUAUGCUUUGCCCUCUGGAUGACUUGAAUGCAACUUUCCCACCUCCCACACAGCAAGUAAAUACAGUAAGCAUAAAAGGGAGCUGAAGUUUCACAGUUUUUAUUAUGGCCUUAUGCCAUAGUCUGCAAUAUUCAUCUUCCAUCGAAUACUGCUUAAAUCUGCAUAGCUUUUUGACUUUGUGGUGACUUGCAAUUUUCCCCAUUGGGCAUAGCAAAUACGGUGAUGGGUUAACCUGCACUUGACCCAUGUGUGCGUGGUUGCAUUGACAUAAAACACAGCCCCAUGAUGACAACCAUCCCUGCUUUCUUCACAGCCAGUGGAUAAAAAACAGAUUUUAGAAAACAUCUGUCAUGCAGUGAUUUGACUUUUGAAAACUAGAGCCAAAUCAAUCAAAAUGGGGGAUGUGGGACAAUGGAUAAAAAUGCCAUGCAGUCCCACAUAAAGUGGGACACCUGGUCACCCUACUCAGGACUGACAAUAAAUUAAAGAUCCCUUUAGUGUUUAGGGUCUUGUGUGUUUCAAACAGUGCCUCAGUUUGUAGCCUGCAGCAUCAACACUGUGCCUUGAAUAAUUCAGUGUAUCCAGCGUGUAAAACAUUUAUGUGAUCUCACCAGCAUUGUUGCACCAUCACUGAUAAAUGUUUUCACACGUAAGAAAUGUCUAAUUCCACGCUUUACAGUUGAGGUAAACAGCACAUUUCCACUUAAAGAAUAAACACUGACUGACCUAUCAUUGCUUCUGUUACCACAGGGGUUACCACAGGGGUUGCCACGGGCAGCAGGAGAGUUAAACCCACGGAUGUUCGGGAUAGAGUGUCUUCUCCUGUGUUGAUGUCUUUCGCGAAUUUUCUCUCCUCGCGUCUCUCCAGCCCGAGAAGUUGAGGAGAAGGAGCGUACAGUUCAGCUGCAGCAAGAACCCACAAUGACCACUGACCACUCAGCUCUUCAGUAACUUAGGAAUCAAGAGGGAAGCAGCCACUAAAAAUACAUCUUGAUGCUGGUUCAACUUUUGAUGUUUAAAACUUUGCAAGCACUAGUUGAGGCACAGGCUUCUAAUUGUUCUCAAUUGCUCUUGUAAAUAUGUUUGGUCAUGGUUAGGAUGAUAAAUCUUUGUCGUGUCAAAUUGUUUUACAGUUCAAAUAGUUCUUUUGCACAGGUGUUAUUUCCAGUUUUUGUAAUGGGAGUGAAUUAGCAUGAUUAAGUCAUUGUAGCAUGUCAGAAGAUCUGCAGACAUAUCAUGUUGUUUUUAAAGGGGCCAUCCAACAAUUUAGUAUUGCACUUGUAUGAAGUUGGGGGACUCGUAAGAGAAAUAUAUUUUAAAUUAAUCUUCAAAAUUGAAGCAGCAGAGCCUGGGACUUUUUUACUCUGAAGCUGGGAUUUGACCCAUACUUCAGAACACUGGAAAAACAUUGGAUCUACAUUUGCCAUUAUGUAACACAAGAGCAUAUUUUGUUUGAUCAUCCUUGUAUUGUAAAUGUCCAUAUAUUGCGCAACCCCUAAUUGUGUGCCCUCCAGGCCCAAGCCAAAACAAUCCUGAUGACAUAAUCUGGGCUUUUUGUUUUGAACAUAUAAGCUUCCCUCAGAGCAACAGAAACAAAUACGCAAAUGUUUUCAUAGGCAUACUCUCUAUGAUGAGUUAACUAACCUUAAUGUUUAAAAGUGCCUCUUUAAUGUUUUGUAUAAUUGUAUUUUGUCAACUGCAAAUCUCUGAUGAAAUGAUUUUCAAACUGUUUUGCAACUUGUGGUGGAAAUAAAAUUGCUUAAAGUAAAA
Molecule: RNA transcript, 7475 nt
Organism: Dicentrarchus labrax (European seabass)
Lineage: Eukaryota; Metazoa; Chordata; Actinopteri; Moronidae
Gene name: arf-GAP with coiled-coil, ANK repeat and PH domain-containing protein 3
Exons: 25
Source: RefSeq, a predicted model, not a curated record